GUCGUAACAAGGUUUCCGUAGGUGAACCUGCGGAAGGAUCAUUAAUGUACACGUCAAGUGUUCUUUAUUUUACCUAACUAUAAGUCUGAAUGAAAACAAAAAUUUUAAAACUUUUAACAACGGAUCUCUUGGUUCUCGCAUCGAUGAAGAACGCAGCAAAAUGCGAUAAGUAUUGUGAAUUGCAGGAUUUAGUGAAUCAUCGAAUUUUUGAACGCACAUUGCGCCCUCUGGUAUUCCGGAGGGCAUACCUGUUUGAGCGUCAUUUAAAUCUCACAAUUAUUGUGGUGUUGAGUAUAUCAUUUUUGAUUAACUCGAAAUGCAGUGGUGAAUAAGUGUAAGCAGUGCUAUUAACAUCUCACUGUGGAAGCCUAAAGCGCCUAACAUUUUCUACUUUGACCUCAAAUCAGGCAGG
This 412-nucleotide unclassified non-coding RNA is filed under the name Myxozyma monticola. Its description in RNAcentral is "sequence contains 18S rRNA gene, ITS1, 5.8S rRNA gene, ITS2, 28S rRNA gene". The stretch from base 109 to 262 matches the Rfam family "5.8S ribosomal RNA". The record is from RNAcentral. Lineage: Eukaryota; Fungi; Ascomycota; Lipomycetes; Lipomycetales; Lipomycetaceae.